GGGGGCGUAGCUCAGUUGGUAGAGCAACGGCCUUUUAAGCCGAGGAGCGGGAGUUCGAGCCUCCCCGCCCCCA
Molecule: transfer RNA, 73 nt
Filed under: Acidimicrobiia bacterium
Lineage: Bacteria; Bacillati; Actinomycetota; Acidimicrobiia
Description: tRNA-Lys
Rfam family: tRNA
About the family: Transfer RNA (tRNA) molecules are approximately 80 nucleotides in length. Their secondary structure includes four short double-helical elements and three loops (D, anti-codon, and T loops).
Source: RNAcentral